This 242-nucleotide long non-coding RNA is filed under the name Pan troglodytes (chimpanzee). Its description in RNAcentral is "long non-coding RNA NONPTRT000797". Lineage: Eukaryota; Metazoa; Chordata; Mammalia; Primates; Hominidae. The record is from RNAcentral.
GGAUUGUUGGGAAGGGGUGGUGGCCUCUGGGUCAUUGCCGGAUUGUUGGGAAGGGGUGGUGACCUCUGGAUUGUUACUGGAUUGUUGGGAAGGGGUGGUGACCUCUGGAUUGUUAGUGGAUUGUUGGGAAGGGGUGGUGACCUCUGGAUUGUUACUGGAUUGUUGGGAAGGGGUGGUGACCUCUGGAUUGUUACUGGAUUGUUGGGAAGGGUGGUGACCUCUGGGUUGUUACUGGAUUGUUG